AGCGGCGCACGGGUGAGUAACGCGUGGGUAAUCUGCCCGCGGGUCUGGGAUAACUCCGGGAAACUGGGGCUAAUACCAGAUAAGACCACGUCGUCCCCGGACGACGCGGAAAAAGAUGGCCUCUGCUUGCAAGCUAUCUCCUGCGGAUGAGCCCCGCGUCCCAUUAGCUAGUUGGCGGGGUAAUGGCCCACCAAGGCAGAGAUGGGUAGCUGGUCUGAGAGGACGACCAGCCACACUGGAACUGAGACACGGUCCAGACUCCUACGGGAGGCAGCAGUCGGGAAUUUUGGGCAAUGGGCGAAAGCCUGACCCAGCGACGCCGCGUGAGGGAUGAAGGCCUUCGGGUCGUAAACCUCUGUCGGAAGGGGCGAAAGGUUCUCGAGCGAACAGGUCGAGGGCUUGACGGUACCUUCAAAGGAAGCGCCGGCUAACUCCGUGCCAGCAGCCGCGGUAA
This 454-nucleotide ribosomal RNA is filed under the name uncultured delta proteobacterium. Its description in RNAcentral is "bacterial SSU rRNA". It matches the Rfam family "Bacterial small subunit ribosomal RNA", at positions 94 to 523 of the family's 1533-position model. The record is from RNAcentral. Lineage: Bacteria; Deltaproteobacteria.